This 561-nucleotide long non-coding RNA is filed under the name Homo sapiens (human). Its description in RNAcentral is "HSALNT0070429". Lineage: Eukaryota; Metazoa; Chordata; Mammalia; Primates; Hominidae. The record is from RNAcentral.
CCUUCCUAUAGCAGACAAAAUGACCAUCUUAUAUUGGAAAAGUAAGUUAUUGCUAAGUAAUAUUCUCAAAUUUUGUUGCAAUCAGCUUUAAAUGAUUCUGAUUUGAGAGAUAUGACCCUUGAGUGACAAAGCCCAUUUCACCAUUUACACAGGGAAAAAAAAUCUCUUUAAAGCACUAUAUAGUUAAAAACAUUGACAAGGAAAUUAAAUUAGUAGAGCUAUCACUUUGAUGUGAUGUACAUGGUAAGAUUGUAAAUACACCAACUAUAAUAUAGAAUUUAAUUUUAUCUUUAUGAAGUAUUCUGAAAUAAAAGACGAUAAUACAUGCAUCAGGCACAUUCGACAGAAGACUUUUACAAUGGUUUACAUUUCCUUUUUAUUUAUUCCUUGAAACUGCUCGUAUUGCAAGUUUUUCACGGAUGAAAUAUGGAACUGAGCAGAUUCUUUUUUUCUACAAAAUUAUGGUAUAAACUUGCUCAAUUUUCUAUCUUAUUGCUAAUAAACCUUACAGGCGCACAGUUUGUAAAAGAAACCCUAAUAUAUUAUUGUUUCUAACCAUCC